UUUUUUUUUUUUUUUUUUUUUUUUUUAGUAGAGACGGGGUUUCACCAUGUUAGUCAGGAUGGUCUCUAUCUCCUGACCUCGCGAUCCGCCCGCUUCGGCCUCCCAAAGUGCUGGGAUUACAGGUGUGAGCCACUGUGCCCGGCUGAAAGCCUGAUAUAUCUUUCUACCAUAGCAAGAACUAGCAGCACCUUACCCAGUAUGAGACCGACCCAGGUCUGCCUUAAUAUAUAUACCGUAAUAUAUACCUAACAGUUUUUUUUUUUUUUUUGAGAGGGAGUCUCGCUCUGUCGCCCAGGCUGGAGUGCAGUAUCGCGAUAUCGGUUCGCUGCAAGCUCCGCCUCCCGGGGUCACGUCAUUCUCCUGCCUCAGCUUCCGGAGCAGCUGGGACUGCUGGCGCCCGCCACUACGCUCGGCUAAUUUUUUUGUGUUUUUAGUAGAGACGGGCUUUCACCGUGUUGGCCUAGCGGUUCUCCAACUCCUGACCUCAUGAUCCCCCCGCCUCAGCCUCCCAAAGUGCUGGGAUUACAAGCGUGAGCCACCGCGACCCGCCAACACUCUUGACAACAGUGCUGUGCUAAGAACUUGGGGGACUUCAAAAAGUUCACCAGUUCCUGUGUCCAUGGGUGAAAAGAUUUUCUACAUCUUUCCUUGACUAGAAACAGAAGUCCUGAAACAAGAAUAUAACGUCAGGAGGCCAGAGGCUUUGUCCUGCCUAAUGUGUUAUUUCCACACUGAAUAAAAGCACCUGAGUCCUGGUCUCAGAGUGAGAACAAUGUCUUCUAUGAUGAGUGGCAAACACAACAAGGCAUUUUAAAAAGGUUGUACAUCUAGCAAUACCUAACAAAAUAGGAAAUCAACUUGGAAAGCCAAUGGCUGUGUUUUGAGUUUAUGGAGAGCCAUAUGUGGCAAGGAACUGAGGGUGGCAUCCAGGCAACAGACUUCAAGAAACUGAGGCUGUCAGUCCAACAACCCACAAGAACUGAAUCUGACCAACAAUCACAGGAACAAACUUAGAAGUAUACUCUUUCCCAGACAAACCUUCAGAUGAGACCACAGCCCCAGCCAUAAGCUUGAAAACAAUCUCAUGAGGGACCUUGAGCCACAGGCAUGUAGUAAAGCUAUGCCAGGAAUCCUGCCUGCCCCACAGAAAAUGUAAAAAAAAUAAAUUUUUAUUGUUUUAAGCCACGAA
RNAcentral lists this long non-coding RNA (1189 nucleotides) under Homo sapiens (human). RNAcentral describes it as "long intergenic non-protein coding RNA 2327". Lineage: Eukaryota; Metazoa; Chordata; Mammalia; Primates; Hominidae. The record is from RNAcentral.